RNAcentral lists this ribosomal RNA (479 nucleotides) under uncultured bacterium. Its description in RNAcentral is "partial 16S ribosomal RNA". It matches the Rfam family "Bacterial small subunit ribosomal RNA", at positions 29 to 523 of the family's 1533-position model. The record is from RNAcentral.
AACAAACGCUGGCGGCGUGCCUAAUACAUGCAAGUCGAACGAUGUAGCAAUACAGAGUGGCGCACGGGAGAGUAACACGUGGAUAAUCUUCCCUUUUGUGGGGAAUAACUCACCGAAAGGUGAGCUAAUACCGCAUAAGACCACAACGUCUGUGGACGAAGGGGUUAAAGGUGGAACCACAAGGUCUAUCGCAAAAGGAUGAGUCUGCGCUCGAUUAGCUAGUUGGCGGGGUAAUGGCCCACCAAGGCGACGAUCGAUAGCUGGUCUGAGAGGAUGACCAGCCUCACUGGAACUGAGACACGGUCCAGACUCCUACGGGAGGCAGCAGUAGGGAAUAUUGCACAAUGGGGGAAACCCUGAUGCAGCGACGCCGCGUGAGUGAUGAAGGCCUUCGGGUUGUAAAGCUCUUUAGCAGGGGAAGAUAGUGACGGUACCCUGAGAAUAAGCCCCGGCUAACUCUGUGCCAGCAGCCGCGGUAA